Molecule: ribosomal RNA, 376 nt
Filed under: uncultured bacterium
Lineage: Bacteria
Description: bacterial SSU rRNA
Rfam family: Bacterial small subunit ribosomal RNA
Source: RNAcentral
UAACACGGGGGGAGCAAGCGUUGUUCGGAAUCACUGGGCGUAAAGGGCGUGUAGGCGGUCAAGUAAGUGGAAUGUGAAAUGCCCCGGCUCACCCGGGGACCGGCAUCCCAAACUGCUUGGCUUGAGUAUGGGAGAGGAUGAGGGAAUUCCUGGUGUAGCGGUGAAAUGCGUAGAUAUCAGGAGGAACACCGGUGGCGAAGGCGCUCAUCUGGCCCAAUACUGACGCUGAUGCGCGAAAGCUAGGGGAGCAAACGGGAUUAGAUACCCCGGUAGUCCUAGCCGUAAACGGUGAUCACUAGGUGUUGGAGGCAUCGACCCCUCCAGUGCCGCAGCUAACGCAUUAAGUGAUCCGCCUGGGGAGUACGGCCGCAAGGUU